RNAcentral lists this ribosomal RNA (253 nucleotides) under uncultured bacterium. RNAcentral's name for it is "partial 16S ribosomal RNA". It matches the Rfam family "Bacterial small subunit ribosomal RNA", at positions 524 to 776 of the family's 1533-position model. The record is from RNAcentral.
UACGUAGGGUGCGAGCGUUAAUCGGAAUUACUGGGCGUAAAGCGUGCGCAGGCGGUUUUGUAAGCCAGAUGUGAAAUCCCCGGGCUUAACCUGGGAAUGGCAUUUGGGACUGCAAGGCUCGAGUGCGGCAGAGGAGACUGGAAUUCCUGGUGUAGCGGUGGAAUGCGCAGAUAUCAGGAGGAACACCAGUGGCGAAGGCGGCUUCCUGGACCGACACUGACGCUGAGGCGCGAAAGCUAGGGGAGCAAACGGG